RNAcentral lists this ribosomal RNA (468 nucleotides) under uncultured bacterium. Its description in RNAcentral is "partial 16S ribosomal RNA". It matches the Rfam family "Bacterial small subunit ribosomal RNA", at positions 28 to 507 of the family's 1533-position model. The record is from RNAcentral.
GACGAACGCUGGCGGCGUGCUUAACACAUGCAAGUCGAACGGAAAGGCCCUGCUUUUGUGGGGUGCUCGAGUGGCGAACGGGUGAGUAACACGUGAGUAACCUGCCCUUGACUUUGGGAUAACUUCAGGAAACUGGGGCUAAUACCGGAUAGGAGCUCCUGCUGCAUGGUGGGGGUUGGAAAGUUUCGGCGGUUGGGGAUGGACUCGCGGCUUAUCAGCUUGUUGGUGGGGUAGUGGCUUACCAAGGCUUUGACGGGUAGCCGGCCUGAGAGGGUGACCGGCCACAUUGGGACUGAGAUACGGCCCAGACUCCUACGGGAGGCAGCAGUGGGGAAUAUUUCACAAUGGGCGGAAGCCUGAUGCAGCAACGCCGCGUGCAGGAUGACGGCCUUCGGGUUGUAAACCGCUUUCGCCUGUGACGAAGCGUGAGUGACGGUAAUGGGUAAAGAAGCACCGGCUAACUACGUG